GGGAGUAUAGUUCAGUGGCAGGAUGCUUACCUAGCAUGUAAGGCAUCAGGGGUUCAAUCCCCAGUGCUGCCA
Molecule: transfer RNA, 72 nt
Filed under: Dipodomys ordii (Ord's kangaroo rat)
Lineage: Eukaryota; Metazoa; Chordata; Mammalia; Rodentia; Heteromyidae
Rfam family: tRNA
About the family: Transfer RNA (tRNA) molecules are approximately 80 nucleotides in length. Their secondary structure includes four short double-helical elements and three loops (D, anti-codon, and T loops).
Source: Rfam by way of RNAcentral